GAAUAAGAGGUUGCUAACUCUGUGCCAGCAGCAGCGGUAAUACAGAGACCUCGAGCGUUAUCCGGAUUAGCUGGGCGUAAAGCGUCUGUAGGGGGUUUGUUAAGUUCCAAGUAAAAUCUUAAGGCUCAACUUUAAGUUCGCUUGGAAAACUAAUAAACUGGAGUCCAGCAGAGGUGCAUGGAACUUGCGGUGUAGGAGUGAAAUCCGUUGAUAUCGCAAGGAACACCAAAGGCGAAGGCAUUGCACUGGGCUGGUACUGACCCUGAGAGACGAAAGCGUGGGGAGCAAAACGGAUUAGAUACCCGUGUAGUCCACGCCGUAAACGAUGGAUACUAGAUGUUCGGGGAUUCGACCCCCUGGGUGUCACAGCUAACGCGUUAAGUAUCCCGCCUGGGAAGUACGGCCGCAAGGCUAAAACUCAAAGGAAUAGACGGGGAUCCGCACAAGCGGUGGAGCGUCUGGUUUAAUUUGAUAGUAAGCAAUGGACCUCACCAAGGUUUGACAUCCUAUGACAACCCUGGAAACAGGGCUUCCUUCGGGCAUAGUGACAGGUGCUGCAUGGUCGUCGUCAGUUCGUGCCGUGAGGUGUUCCGUUAAGUCGGGAAACGAACGAAACCCUCGUCGCAUGUUACAAAUUUCAUGCGAGACUGCCCGGGUCAACCGGGAGGAAGGCGGGGAUGACGUCAGAUCAGCAUGGCCCUUAUACCUUGGGCUACACAGGCGCUACAAUGGCCGGUACAAAGGGUUGCAAAACCGCGAGGUGAAGCUAAUCCCAUAAAGCCGGUCCAAGUUCGGAUUGGAGGCUGCAACUCGCCUCCAUGAAGUUGGAAUCGCUAGUAAUCGUGGAUCAGCCAUUCCACGGUGAAUACGUUCCCGGAUCUUGUACUCACCGCCCGUCACACCAAGAGAGUUGGUAGCUCCUGAAGCG
This 928-nucleotide ribosomal RNA is filed under the name uncultured organism. RNAcentral describes it as "bacterial SSU rRNA". It matches the Rfam family "Bacterial small subunit ribosomal RNA", at positions 484 to 1428 of the family's 1533-position model. The record is from RNAcentral.